GACGAACGCUGGCGGCGUGCCUAAUACAUGCAAGUAGAACGCUGAAGAGAGGAGCUUGCUCUUCUUGGAUGAGGUGCGAACGGGUGAGUAACGCGUAGGUAACCUGCCUGGUAGCGGGGGAUAACUAUAGGAAAGGAUAGCUAAUACCGCAUAACAUUGAUUAUUGCAUGAUAGUUAAUUGAAAGAUGCAACUGCUUAACUACCAGAUGGACCUGCGUUGUAUUAGCUAGUUGGUGAGGUAACGGCUCACCAAGGCGACGAUCCAUAGCCGACCUGAGAGGGUGGUCGGCCCCCCUGGGACUGGGACACGGCCCAGACUCCUACGGGACGCAGCAGUAGGGAAUCUUCGGCAAUGGGGGGAACCCUGACCGAGCAACGCCGCGUCAGUGGAGAAGGUUUUCGGUUCGUAAAGCUCUGUUGUAAGUGAAGAACGGGUGUGGGAAUGGACAGUUCACUCUGUGACGGUAUCUUAACAGAAAGCACCGGCUAACUACGUG
This 497-nucleotide ribosomal RNA is filed under the name uncultured bacterium. Its description in RNAcentral is "partial 16S ribosomal RNA". It matches the Rfam family "Bacterial small subunit ribosomal RNA", at positions 28 to 507 of the family's 1533-position model. The record is from RNAcentral.